Molecule: ribosomal RNA, 495 nt
Filed under: uncultured bacterium
Lineage: Bacteria
Description: partial 16S ribosomal RNA
Rfam family: Bacterial small subunit ribosomal RNA
Source: RNAcentral
GACGAACGCUGGCGGCGUGCCUAAUACAUGCAAGUAGAACGCUGAAGGAGGAGCUUGCUUCUCUGGAUGAGUUGCGAACGGGUGAGUAACGCGUAGGUAACCUGCCUGGUAGCGGGGGAUAACUAUUGGAAACGAUAGCUAAUACCGCAUAAGAGUAGAUGUCGCAUGACAUUUGCUUAAAAGGUGCAAUUGCAUCACUACCAGAUGGACCUGCGUUGUAUUAGCUAGUUGGUGAGGUAACGGCUCACCAAGGCAACGAUACAUAGCCGACCUGAGAGGGUGAUCGGCCACACUGGGACUGAGACACGGCCCAGACUCCUACGGGAGGAAGCAGUAGGGAAUCUUCGGCAAUGGACGGAAGUCUGACCGAGCAACGCCGCGUGAGUGAAGAAGGUUGUCGGAUCGUAAAGCUCUGUUGUAAGAGAAGAACGAGUGUGAGAGUGGAAAGUUCACACUGUGACGGUAUCUUACCAGAAAGGGACGGCUAACUACGUG